CAGGCUAGAGUGUNUCAGAGGGGGGUAGAAUUCCACGUGUAGCAGUGAAAUGCGUAGAGAUGUGGAGGAAUACCGAUGGCGAAGGCAGCCCCCUGGGAUAACACUGACGUUCAUGCUCGAAAGCGUGGGUAGCAAACAGGAUUAGAUACCCUGGUAGUCCACGCCCUAAACGAUGUCAAUUAGCUGUUGGGCAACUUGAUUGCUUAGUAGCGUAGCUAACGCGUGAAAUUGACCGCCUGGGGAGUACGGUCGCAAGAUUAAAACUCAAAGGAAUUGACGGGGACCCGCACAAGCGGUGGAUGAUGUGGAUUAAUUCGAUGCAACGCGAAGAACCUUACCUGGUCUUGACAUGUACGGAAUCUUCCAGAGACGGGAGAGUGCCUUCGGGAACCGUAACACAGGUGCUGCAUGGCUGUCGUCAGCUCGUGUCGUGAGAUGUUGGGUUAAGUCCCGCAACGAGCGCAACCCUUGUCAUUAGUUGCCAUCAUUCAGUUGGGCACUCUAAUGAGACUGCCGGUGACAAACCGGAGGAAGGUGGGGAUGACGUCAAGUCCUCAUGGCCCUUAUGACCAGGGCUUCACACGUCAUACAAUGGUCGGUACAGAGGGUAGCCAAGCCGCGAGGUGGAGCCAAUCCCAGAAACCGAUCGUAGUCCGGAUUGCACUCUGCAACUCGAGUGCAUGAAGUCGGAAUCGCUAGUAAUCGCAGGUCAGCAUACUGCGGUGAAUACGUUCCCGGGUCUUGUACACACCGCCCGUCACACCAUGGAAGUGGGGGAUACCAGAGGUAGGUAGGCUAACCGCAAGGAG
RNAcentral lists this ribosomal RNA (809 nucleotides) under uncultured bacterium. RNAcentral's name for it is "bacterial SSU rRNA". It matches the Rfam family "Bacterial small subunit ribosomal RNA", at positions 637 to 1448 of the family's 1533-position model. The record is from RNAcentral.